RNAcentral lists this ribosomal RNA (440 nucleotides) under uncultured bacterium. Its description in RNAcentral is "partial 16S ribosomal RNA". It matches the Rfam family "Bacterial small subunit ribosomal RNA", at positions 338 to 795 of the family's 1533-position model. The record is from RNAcentral.
CCUACGGGUGGCAGCAGUGGGGAAUAUUGCACAAUGGGGGAAACCCUGAUGCAGCGACGCCGCGUGAGUGAAGAAGUAAUUCGUUAUGUAAAGCUCUAUCAGCAGGGAAGAAAAUGACGGUACCUGAGUAAGAAGCCCCGGCUAACUACGUGCCAGCAGCCGCGGUAAUACGUAGGGGGCAAGCGUUAUCCGGAUUUACUGGGUGGAAAGGGAGCGUAGACGGCAUUGCAAGUCUGGAGUGAAAGGCGGGGGCUCAACCCCCGGACUCCUCUGGAAACUGUACGGCUGGAGUGCAGGAGAGGUAAGUGGAAUUCCUAGUGUAGCGGUGACAUGCGUAGAUAUUAGGAGGAACACCAGUGGCGAAGGCGGCUUACUGGACUGUAACUGACGUUGAGGCUCGAAAGCGUGGGGAGCAAACAGGAUUAGAUACCCCUGUAGUC